AACUGAUACUACCUGCGGGAACCUGCGGAAGGAUCAUUAUAGAAUUGUUCGAAUUCCAUACGGGCAUUUUCUAAAAAUCCGUAUCCACACCGGUAGGGUUUUUCUUUUUUCCGUUUGGGAGAAAGUGGCCCUUGCCGUAGGGUUCUGUUCUCUGCUCUCCUCUUUUUUUAUUAAGGGAGUUGGGUGGGGGAUGGUUCCUGUCUGACCCAUGCCUAUAAUUUUAUUUUGUCUGAACUUUUU
This 240-nucleotide unclassified non-coding RNA is filed under the name soil metagenome. RNAcentral describes it as "partial contains 5.8S ribosomal RNA, internal transcribed spacer 2, and large subunit ribosomal RNA". The record is from RNAcentral.